GGGGGGGGAGAAAAACGCUUUCUGGAACAUUCUUUUCCUCUUGGAAAGCUGCAUAAAACAGGAUAGGAAUGAAUAGAGCUGAAUUUGUUAAAUUUUAAGGCAAUGAUGUAGGCAAGCCAGAUGUUUCCUGGACAUCUGGGAUCUCUAACAGAUGUAAGUGGCUGUGGCUGAGGUCAGCAGUGCUCUUAGAGUUGGGUGGGCUCCACGUGUGCUCAGUAAUGAGGAGCUGCUGUCCAGUGUUUGUUGCAGGCUCUGGCUGAUGAUCUUGGUGAGGUGUCUGGGAGAGGUGUGAUUUGUGCCAGGGUAUGUACUGUGCCUGGGGGGUUGGAGGAGUAGCGGGGUGAUGGCCAAAUGUGGGAGGCUCUGACAAGGCGAGAAAUGCUUCGGGUGCUCAGCCUCAUUCCUUGAAUCAAGGGAACUGUUAUGUCCUUGGAGGCUGGAAUAAUAACCCACAAGCUGUGAGGGGAGUAUGGGUGAGCUGACAGGGCUAUGCAGUACAGCAGAAGGAUGGCCCUGGACAGUGCUUACAUAGCUGAGGGCUGUUCCCCCUCAAAGCAUUGCUGAGCAGCUUAAACCUCACUUACAUCUGAGUUUGUUAAAUAAUAGCCCUACCCUGAUGGUCUUCUGUGACAUUUUGUCCUCUGGAAGCAGAUGUUCGUUGGACAGGGUGGAAGUUGGCUGGGGAUGGCCCACGUGCAGUGAAGCUGGCUAUGGGAUAUCUGGAAGGAAGUGUCAGUGGGGUGCAUGGGAACAGGCUGUCAUGCAAACUGGGAGCUCUCCAUCAAAAGUAAUGGCUGUAGAGACGCCUGCUGCAACCUCAGAGCCUCUUCUGAUCUUGUUACCAUGUUCAGGCUUCUGGAGGCAGUGAGAUCACAACAGCUCGACUUCCUUCUGUGGGCAAACAAGAAAGAGCUCUUCCUGUUGUGACCUUGUGUUUCUCUCCUGCCCUUGGUGGUGUUUGUGUCAGCAUUGCCCUGACCCUACUCAUGGUGGCUGAUGUGUUUCCUCGAUGUGGUCAGUGGGCACAGUGGGGCUGUGGUUGGACUGCAUCACCUUUUCCAACCUUAAUGCUUCUGUGAUUCUAUGAAAGCUUGGCUCUUGCCUUGGACAACCCCAGGAGGUCUUUCCCAGCUCCAUCCAAGUCCUUCUCCCAGGCUGAGACUUCAGGAAUUGGGCUUCUAAAUAUCACAGGAUUGAUCUGAACACCGCGACUCAUUCAUUUUUAAAUACCAGUUCUUAGAUGCUUAUCCUCUGCUGUUAGGUAUGCAUCCCCGAGCCUCUCCGGGUAUAUACGAGGCCUUGAAAUUUAAUCCUUAAAGAACGUGUUAAAAAUUCAGUCCUUCGUGCGUGGCUCUGUGAUUUUGGAGGCUGAGGUUUGGAGGAAAAAGCAAACAUGGGGAGCACGUGGUGGGACAGCAAGGCAGCGAGGCACGGCACGGAGUGGCACAGCGUGGCAUGCAGGUGGGGUCACCCAGCUGGGAAAGGGACCACCUGGUGCUCACAAAGCUGAGGAUCUGCUGCUUCUUUUCCUCUCUGUUAAGCAAAGGCAAAACCCUCUGCUUCCUUCGGGGCGAAGCACUCUGUGCGCGCAGGGAUUCCUGCUUGGGGAAAGGAGCCAGAGAACACAUUGAAAGCCUGUACAUGCGUGGGGUGCGUUUCUGGAGGGAUUUGUGCCUCCUGGGGAACCUUCAAAGGCAUCCACAAGCCCCCAGCGUGCUGCUGUGGCUGCUGAGGGAUGGGGCAGCCCUGAGCUCGGUACCACCAGCACCAAACUCCUGGGGCUCCGGAGGCACAGCCAGAGGUCCCUUCUCCCUCCAUGCCCCCGCCUUGCUGAUUUCCAGCACCUGCCCCAAAGGAUCUGCUGUCCCACAGCACCGUUGCUGCUGGGCUGGACUGCUUUAUGACACACAGCCUUUGCACUGCCCCAGCUGGAAUGCCCACCUCCAGCCUGUAUGUCAGCUACAGCCGCCUGCAGAGCUGUGCUUGUGCCGGGGUAACACUCGCCAGCUCCCAGGCGCAAAGGUGGAAAGGCAGAGGACAGCUAGAAACAACCCGGGAAAGCAGCUGCUUAGAAUAGAAAGAGGUGUGUAACCAUGGCUUCGGCUCUGUGCUGCGUGCCUGAAAUGCAGAUGUCUGCCACUGGCUCUGCUGGGCCAGAGCCGGCAGCCGCAUAAAGGGACCAGGAAAGCACUGGGGUCCCAGGCUGGGGGUGGUGCUCAGUUUGGUGUGAUGGCCACGAAUGAUCCCCAGCUCCAGACCCAGCAUCCCCAUCUGCAGUGAAGGAGCCUUCCUGGGCGUUGCUGUCCCCACCACAGGAUGUGGAAGCCCCAGCUGUGUGCCAUCCAGCCCUUCCACCCCUCCAGCAUCCCCACCACGGAGGGAAUUACCCCAGGCAGGAACCGGCGCAUGCUGAGAAUGAGAAUUCAAUGUCUGAAUGCCUUCAGUUCCUUCCUCCAAAUAAAUCACUGAGUGACUCUAAUUACUGUGCUCGCCCUGCGUACACACCAGCUUCAUACAGAAAAUGAGUGCAGAAGGAUUUAUGACUGCUGAUUCUUGAUCUUUCAUUUUUGAUAUUAAAGCAUGUUUAAUUCAUCGCAACAUAGAUUAAAAUAAGGGAGGCCGCGGAUGGACUCUGGGUGUGUUUAGGAAUUUGGUUGCUGCGCUGCCUGCCUUGCAGCAGGACUGCUUGUCCUCCCUUCUGAGCCCACCCGAGCUUGGGAUGUGCCUGAUUCCUAUUUCAUGUAACCACCCCACCUCCUCCAGCUGUGGAUCUGCGGCUGUUUGGACAGCAGUACUGGAGAGAACGGUCACCAAGAGGUUAUUUCUCCGGGAGGGACAGCUCGCAGCCUCAUUAGAUGCAACAGGAGU
Molecule: long non-coding RNA, 2868 nt
Organism: Gallus gallus (chicken)
Lineage: Eukaryota; Metazoa; Chordata; Aves; Galliformes; Phasianidae
Source: Ensembl